RNAcentral lists this ribosomal RNA (908 nucleotides) under Tuber sp. RNAcentral's name for it is "eukaryotic LSU rRNA". It matches the Rfam family "Eukaryotic large subunit ribosomal RNA", at positions 39 to 959 of the family's 3401-position model. The record is from RNAcentral. Lineage: Eukaryota; Fungi; Ascomycota; Pezizomycetes; Pezizales; Tuberaceae.
CAUAUCAAUAAGCGGAGGAAAAGAAACCAACAGGGAUUGCCUUAGUAACGGCGAGUGAAGCGGCAGAAGCUCAAAUUUGAAAUCUGGCACCUACCGGUGUCCGAGUUGUAAUUUGAAGAGGCAACUUUGGGAGGGUCCCGGUCUAUGUUCCUUGGAACAGGACAUCGCAGAGGGUGAGAAUCCCGUUCUCGGUCGGAUGUGGCCCUCCCUUACAAAAGUGUCUUCUACGAGUCGAGUUGUUUGGGAAUGCAGCUCAAAAUGGGUGGUAAAUUUCAUCUAAGGCUAAACAUUGGCGAGAGACCGAUAGCGCACAAGUAGAGUGAUCGAAAGAUGAAAAGCACUUUGAAAAUAGAGUCAAAAAGUACGUGAAAUUGUUGAAAGGGAAGCGCUUGAGACCAGACUCAGCGGUAGACAAACAGCUGCCCUUCUGGGUAGUGCACUUGUCUGCCGGUGGGCCAGCAUCGGUUGGGGUGGUGGGAUAAAGGCUAGGGCAAUGUGACUCCUCUGAGGAGUGUUAUAGGCCCGAGUGCAAUGCUGCCCGCCCCGACCGUGGACCGCGCAUUCCGCUAGGAUGCUGGCGUAAUGGUCUUCAGCGGCCCGUCUUGAAACACGGACCAAGGAGUCUAACAUCUAUGCGAGUGUUUGGGCCACAAACCCUCACGCGUAAUGAAAGUGAACGGAGGUGGGAACCCUGUAAUGGGGCGCACCAUCGACCGAUCCUGAUGUCCUCGGAUGGAUUUGAGUAGGAGCAUAGCUGUUGGGACCCGAAAGAUGGUGAACUAUGCCUGAAUAGGGUGAAGCCAGAGGAAACUCUGGUGGAGGCUCGCAGCGGUUCUGACGUGCAAAUCGAUCGUCAAAUUUGGGUAUAGGGGCGAAAGACUAAUCGAACCAUCUAGUAGCUGGUUCCU